AGAAGGGAAGAAGUCACUCCACAAUAUCGGUCAUUCCGUCGGUGUGUUGCAGGACGUGAAGAUGGACCCGAAGUGAUUGCCAAGGACUUACCAGUGAAUUGUGUGGAAAUUAAAACGUGGCAGCAGUGCGAACAGAACAAGUUACCAGCUAGCCGCCAGCGAGGGUGACCCAACAUUGCCCGCGCACUGGAUAAUGGUAACGUGCAGGUCUCUCCCGUGCAUGCCAAUAGGUUCAGGUAAUGUGCCAUGGGACUUGUUUUUUUUAGCUUUUUCUGUGUUCUCGUAAGGCGUGCGCGAGUGGCUUGUUCUGCUUCUUACGCAUUUUGGGGUUUCGUAUUGAUUUGUCGUGCGUUG
Eriocheir sinensis (Chinese mitten crab) is the source of this 354-nucleotide long non-coding RNA. RefSeq lists it as uncharacterized. The record is from RefSeq and is a predicted model, not a curated record. NCBI's taxonomy places the organism in Eukaryota, Metazoa, Arthropoda, Malacostraca, Decapoda, Varunidae. The transcript is spliced from 3 exons.